UCAUGGUUUCACCAAAGCUCGAAAUUGCUCUAGAAACAGAUGAGGUAAAAAUAGCUUGUUGCCAUCGAUCGGAAUAACACCUCAAUGUCUUCACCAUCGGAGGAGGUAAUGUAUAGCUUACUAUUGUUCCAAAUUUCCGAUUCACAAAUUUCCGGUUUCGUACAUGAAUAAAGCUUGUUGAUUGCUUGUAGGAGAUUUCCGGUUUUGUAGUUUAGGAGAUUUUCGAAUAUAUGAAUGCUUGUAGGAGAUUUCCGGAUUGAAUUGCUAAUCGAAAAUUUUCACAUUUCUUAAUAAUCGGAAUUCUCAAGUUUUUCGAUUUCCAAUUUCCUAGUUUCAUUUCCAGAUUUCAAAAUUAAUUAAUCUCAAGUUUGUUAUUUUUAUCGGAAUUAUUCAUAGUAUUGUUACCAAGAUUUCCGACUUAGAAUGGUAAUCGGAAAUCU
This 440-nucleotide long non-coding RNA is filed under the name Salvia miltiorrhiza (redroot sage). RNAcentral's name for it is "long non-coding RNA (SMIL_LNC012047)". The record is from RNAcentral. Lineage: Eukaryota; Viridiplantae; Streptophyta; Magnoliopsida; Lamiales; Lamiaceae.